CUUCAGAUAUGAUCCAGAGUACCACGGGACACGUGAAACCCUGUGGGAAGCAGGAGGGACCACCCUCCAAGGCUAAAUACUACCUAGUGACCAAUAGCGUAUAGUACCGUGAGGGAAAGGUGAAAAGAACCCCGGGAGGGGAGUGAAAUAGAACCUGAAACCCUGCACUUACAAGCUGUGGAAGCACAUUUCUUGUGUGACCGCGUACUUUUUGUAGAAC
This 220-nucleotide ribosomal RNA is filed under the name Clostridioides sp. ZZV14-6104. Its description in RNAcentral is "partial 23S ribosomal RNA". It matches the Rfam family "Bacterial large subunit ribosomal RNA", at positions 394 to 616 of the family's 2925-position model. The record is from RNAcentral. Lineage: Bacteria; Bacillati; Bacillota; Clostridia; Peptostreptococcales; Peptostreptococcaceae.